GGGACUUCGGUCCCGAGUAAAGUGGCGCACGGGUGAGUAACACGUGGAUAAUCUGCCUCUAUGAUGGGGAUAACAGUUGGAAACGACUGCUAAUACCGAAUACGCUCAUGAUGAACUUUGUGAGGAAAGGUGGCCUCUGCUUGCAAGCUAUCGCAUAGAGAUGAGUCCGCGUCCCAUUAGCUAGUUGGUGGGGUAACGGCCUACCAAGGCAACGAUGGG
RNAcentral lists this ribosomal RNA (219 nucleotides) under Desulfovibrio piger. Its description in RNAcentral is "partial 16S ribosomal RNA". It matches the Rfam family "Bacterial small subunit ribosomal RNA", at positions 74 to 283 of the family's 1533-position model. Lineage: Bacteria; Pseudomonadati; Thermodesulfobacteriota; Desulfovibrionia; Desulfovibrionales; Desulfovibrionaceae. The record is from RNAcentral.